AAAUUGAAGAGUUUGAUCAUGGCUCAGAUUGAACGCUGGCGGCAGGCCUAACACAUGCAAGUCGAACGGUAACAGGAAGCAGCUUGCUGCUUCGCUGACGAGUGGCGGACGGGUGAGUAAUGUCUGGGAAACUGCCUGAUGGAGGGGGAUAACUACUGGAAACGGUAGCUAAUACCGCAUAAUGUCGCAAGACCAAAGAGGGGGACCUUCGGGCCUCUUGCCAUCGGAUGUGCCCAGAUGGGAUUAGCUUGUUGGUGGGGUAACGGCUCACCAAGGCGACGAUCUCUAGCUGGUCUGAGAGGAUGACCAGCCACACUGGAACUGAGACACGGUCCAGACUCCUACGGGAG
This 350-nucleotide ribosomal RNA is filed under the name Escherichia coli. RNAcentral describes it as "bacterial SSU rRNA". It matches the Rfam family "Bacterial small subunit ribosomal RNA", at positions 1 to 347 of the family's 1533-position model. The record is from RNAcentral. Lineage: Bacteria; Pseudomonadati; Pseudomonadota; Gammaproteobacteria; Enterobacterales; Enterobacteriaceae.